Podarcis lilfordi (Lilford's wall lizard) is the source of this 78-nucleotide non-coding RNA. The record is from the annotation of a GenBank genome assembly. NCBI's taxonomy places the organism in Eukaryota, Metazoa, Chordata, Lepidosauria, Squamata, Lacertidae.
UCUUGCAGUCCAUGGGACUCUCAAGAGUCUCCUAUGGUGCUGGAGGAGACUCUUGAGAGUCCCAUGGACUGCAAGAAG